CUCGCUUCUCGGCCUUUUGGCUAAGAUCAAAGUGUAGUAUCUGUUCUUAUCAACUCACAUGAAAGACCUUCUAUUGUGUAUCAGUAAGUAUUCUAUUGUGUAUCAGUAAGUAUUCUAU
Molecule: small nuclear RNA, 118 nt
Filed under: Stegodyphus mimosarum
Lineage: Eukaryota; Metazoa; Arthropoda; Arachnida; Araneae; Eresidae
Description: U2 spliceosomal RNA
Rfam family: U2 spliceosomal RNA
About the family: U2 is a small nuclear RNA (snRNA) component of the spliceosome (involved in pre-mRNA splicing). Complementary binding between U2 snRNA (in an area lying towards the 5' end but 3' to hairpin I) and the branchpoint sequence (BPS) of the intron results the bulging out of an unpaired adenosine, on the BPS, which initiates a nucleophilic attack at the intronic 5' splice site, thus starting the first of two transesterification reactions that mediate splicing.
Source: Rfam by way of RNAcentral